Molecule: long non-coding RNA, 578 nt
Organism: Malus domestica (apple)
Lineage: Eukaryota; Viridiplantae; Streptophyta; Magnoliopsida; Rosales; Rosaceae
Source: RefSeq, a predicted model, not a curated record
CGUUUCUCUGUAUGUGACUCGCUGUUUUUAUCGCGAUCCGAUCGUUUAGAAGGGUGGUUGGUCUGUUUUUUCCCGCUAUUUUCCGCGAAGGAAUCGCAACGAUUUGGGUGCGUUGGUUGCUGUGUGCCGUUAUUCUGUGCUUGGUUGGAAACGUUUAUCUUCCAACUUUAGGGUUUUGUUGUGGGAGUUUGCAAACCCUUUCUGGGCCAGUGUAGCCUUUGUCAAUCAAAUGCUUUGCUGAAACAUCCAAUAAGAAGAAUAAAAUAACUAUGAUUGCAGAGCCAUUGGAGAGAGGACUUGUUGAGGACAUUGAGAAUGUAUAUAAGCUACAAUGUUCGUUUCUGCAUUGCAGUGAACGCUUAAAGGAAAAUGUGCUCUUAUGGGAUAUUCCAUGUUCAAGUAAUUAUACAAAUGAAGCACUGGGAUGACUGUCAAUGAGGAAUACUAGACUAGCCAUUUUUGUAUAUCAAUGACAAGGCAUUUGACAAUGUCUUUUCUGUAAGUCAUAUAAACUUAGACAACUUUGUAAAAAUAUUUGCUCCAUUUUCUACAUGUUUAUCUUAGUCUUUGGUUAUUUA